Non-coding RNA from Rhamnusium bicolor, 83 nucleotides. The record is from the annotation of a GenBank genome assembly. NCBI's taxonomy places the organism in Eukaryota, Metazoa, Arthropoda, Insecta, Coleoptera, Cerambycidae.
GUCAGGAUGGCCGAGCGGUCUAAGACACCAGACUCAAGUUCUGGUUCACUCUGUGGACGUGGGUUCGAAUCCCACUUCUGAUA